GCCGGAAUAGCUCAGUCGGUAGAGCAGAGGACUGAAAAUCCUCG
RNAcentral lists this transfer RNA (44 nucleotides) under Acrobolbus laxus. RNAcentral's name for it is "Tylimanthus laxus partial tRNA-Phe". It matches the Rfam family "tRNA", at positions 1 to 43 of the family's 71-position model. From Rfam's summary of the family: Transfer RNA (tRNA) molecules are approximately 80 nucleotides in length. Their secondary structure includes four short double-helical elements and three loops (D, anti-codon, and T loops). Lineage: Eukaryota; Viridiplantae; Streptophyta; Jungermanniopsida; Jungermanniales; Acrobolbaceae. The record is from RNAcentral. RNAcentral also lists the same sequence under 19 other names.